Molecule: small nuclear RNA, 126 nt
Organism: Myotis lucifugus (little brown bat)
Lineage: Eukaryota; Metazoa; Chordata; Mammalia; Chiroptera; Vespertilionidae
Source: Ensembl
GUGUUGUAUGAAAAGAGAGACGGUUAGCAGUCCCCUUGACAAGGAAGGAAGAGGCUCUUGGGCCUAACAACACGCACACAGUUAAGGCAUUGCCACCUACUUCGUGGCACCUAAUCAUCAUUAAAA